CUACGGGCUGCUCCAGGCGCGAAACCUUUACAAUGUACGUAAGUGCGAUAAGGGAACUCCCAGUGCUCAUGUAAUGCAUGGGCUUUUGUUAAGUGUAAAUAGCUUGGCGAAUAAGUGGUGGGUAAGACGGGUGCCAGCCGCCGCGGUAACACCUGCGCCGCGAGUGGCAUUCACGUUUACUGGGCCUAAAGCGUUCGUAGCCGGAUAGAUAAGUCUUAAGUGAAAUCGGUGCGCUUAACAAAACGACGUGCUUGAGAUACUGUUUAUCUAGGGACCGGGAGGAGUUAGGGGCAUUCCAGAGGGAGCGGUAAAAUGCUGUAAUCUCUGGAGGACCACCUGUGGCGAAGGCGCCUAACUAGAACGGGUCCGACGGUGAGGAACGAAAGCCAGGGGAGCAAAACGGAUUAGAUACCCUGGUAGUC
This 422-nucleotide ribosomal RNA is filed under the name uncultured archaeon. Its description in RNAcentral is "partial 16S ribosomal RNA". It matches the Rfam family "Archaeal small subunit ribosomal RNA", at positions 323 to 746 of the family's 1478-position model. The record is from RNAcentral.